Molecule: long non-coding RNA, 7589 nt
Filed under: Homo sapiens (human)
Lineage: Eukaryota; Metazoa; Chordata; Mammalia; Primates; Hominidae
Description: non-protein coding TUG1:50
Rfam family: Taurine upregulated gene 1 conserved region 3 (bases 2716-2904)
Source: RNAcentral
GCGCGCCCGGUGGCCGUUGGCGCUCGCGCCGCGUCUUUCUUCUCGUACGCAGAACUCGGGCGGCGGCCUAUGCGUUUGCGAUUCGACGAGGAGUCGUCCGGGUGGUCGGCGGCGGCGGGCAGCUGCUCCGCCCCGCUCCGGGGGAGGCGGCGGCGGCAGCGGCCGCGGGAUUUGGAGCGGCCGGGGAGGCGGGGGUGGCCGGGGCCGGCUUGGAGGCCUGGCGCCACCCUUCGGGGCCUGCAAGGACCCAGUUGGGGGGGCAGGAGGGGGCCGGAGGAUGGUUGGUUGUGGGAUUUCUACUUUGCCUUUUCCUCCUUAUGCCGCCUUAGUGAGGGGCGGGAGCUCUGGCGGCAGCCCCGGGGUGGGGAGACGAGCUCCGGAGUCGGAAGAGCUGGGUUUUCUUCCGGGCCUAGCCACCAGUUGGCGGAGUGACCUUAGGCGAGUCACUCUGUAAUUUGUCUGCGCCUCAGUUUCCUCCUCUGCCUAUCAAUGUGUGUGGGGUUGAAAUCGCUUUGUAAACUAUAAAGCGUGGGUGUACGUAAAGGAUGGUUAUUGUUUAUAAUUUUUUUUGAGUUGUAAGAAAACUUAGCAGUUCCCCAAUCCUUGGGUUUUGAACCUGGGAACCUUGGAUUGGAGUUGGGGAUCCCCAAACUUCCUGAAAUUGUGGGAAUGUGCGGUUUGGGGGAAUGAUGGGAAUUUGUGGGAAUGUGCGUUUUAGGGGAAUGAUGAUCCAUCGCUAGCAAGUUUUCCAAGGGGGCUGUGACCCAGAAGAGUUAAGAAUCACAAUUUCUUCAUGCUACAGAGAGGAAACUGAGGCCUAGAUGUCAUUUGGGACCCUUCACAACCAUUUUGAAGCCCUGUUUGAGUCCCUGGGAUAUGUGAGCUGUUUCUAUGCAUAAUGGAUAUUCGGGGUUAACAACAGUCCCCUGCUUGGCUUCUAUUCUGAAUCCUUUUCUUUCACCAUGGGGUGCCUGAAGGGUGGCUGAUGCAUAUGGUACAAUGGCACCCAGUGUAAAGCAGCUACAAUUAGGAGUGGAUGUGUUCUGUAGCAUCCUAUUUAAAUAAGCCUAUUUUAUCCUUUGGCCCGUCAACUCUGUUAUCUGCUGCUUGUACUGGUGCCUGUACUUUUCUGACUCUCAUUGACCAUAUUCCACGACCAUGGUUGUCAUCCAUUACUUGAUCCUACUUUACAUGUCUAGGCUGUGUGGUUGGUGGUGAAUAGGCUUCUUUUUACAUGGUGCUGCCAGCCCAGCUAAUUAAUGGUGCACGUGGACUUUUAGCAAGCGGGCUCACUGGAAGAGACUGAACCUGGCAUGGAAUUCCUGAAGAUGUUUGGGGUUUUUUUCUUUCUUAAUCGAAAGUUAACAUUGUCUGAAAAGUUUUGUUAGAACUACUGCGGAACCUCAAAAUCAGUAGAUUUGGAAGUGAUUCAAAGCUAAACUUUUUCCUUGGCCCUCCUUGUGUUCUAAUUGCUUGCAAGUGUAAUACUAGGAUGUCCAAGAUGCCAGUUUUUGCUUCUUUGUUAGUUGUCAGCUGCUUUUAUCAAAUUUCAGGCCAUUAUCCAACAAACACUAUAAAAAUGUUUGAACAAUUGGAUUUCAAACAUUUUCGUUUUGUGGAGUGGUGCUCACCAAGUGGUACAGCCCUAAGCAAGUGAACACAAACACAUUUAAGUGUAUUUUGUCUGAUUAGAUGUUAGCCAGUUAUGCUAUUUCAUUCAAAUGUCUGAAAAAAUCAAUUGACUAUUCCCUUUUCCUAAAGGGCAGAGACAGAUAAUCUCACUUCCAGAGAAAUGACUUGGAGAAAAAAAAGUGUUGGUCUUUUUGCUCUUUUGUAAUUAAAUCCGGAUGUACCUCAAAAGACUUAAGACUGUGGUGAUAAGAUGCUUUCCUCAGCAGAAAGGAGGGAAAAAAAACAACUGGAACUCAAAGCUUGAAAUUCUGUGGCAAAACAUGAGAUGUCCAGGAUUGGAGGUUGAAAAGAUUUCACUACAGUGUUCUGCAAUAGUUGGAGCAGAUAACUUUCAGUGUAGCCACAGCCAUGGACUCCAGAUUUCCAGAUUUUCAAGACCUGGACCUGGAACCCGAAAGAGCUUGUCACGAUGCGGCAGGAACACUGGAGGUAGAUUUUUUUUUAUUUUUGAAUUUUGGGACUGUUGACCUUGCUGUGAGAAAAGAGACAACGACUGAGCAAGCACUACCACCAGCACUGUUACUGGGAAUUAGAAGACCUGAGUUUCUGUCCAGACCCUCAGUGCAAACUGAGGAUGCUCCAUCCAAAGUGAAUUAUGAUAGCAGACUCCUUGAAAGCAGGGUCCUUGUUUAGUGCAUCUUUGCCCACAUACACCACAACAUAUCAAGAUGCAUUUAUUAGGAAGGAGGAGUUUAGAGAGCAGGCUAUCAGAAUAACCACUCAGUAAGUGUUUUCUUAAUUGCUAUGUGAUAACUUACAUUACUCUUAAUGAGGAGAAAAGUCGCUAGAUAUGGAUCAUGUUUAUGUUUUAAUGUUUUUUAAUUCUAAAUUUUGAUCUAGGGAGCCCUCAGACAUAAGGAGAAACCAAUAUGUUGAAUGAUGGGGUAUUACAUACAGAAGGACCAAGACCUUAUUUUCUCCUACUUAAGAUGGAAUCUUGUUAAGAUGAAAGGACAGCUUUUUAAAAGGAGAAGGUCAUAAGACAGUUUGAGGAAGGCAUUGGAAGAGGAAGAGGGGCAAUGUCUCCUUUGUUUUAUUGUUGCCUACAGACCUGGUACCUGGAUUUUUGCCCGAGAUGAUUCCUACCACCUUACUACUGACGAAGACACCCAUUCCAGUGGACCACUGUGACCCAGGAGGCAUUCAGCCAUCAUGAUGUGGCCUUUACCUCCACUCCUGUCUUGUUCUACCCAGAUUCAGCACAGCCCUUUAUAGUGAAGUCAGAGUCCUCAAGCCAAAUAGCUAAAGCUGUUUUAUCACAACAAAGGCCUAGUUUGUUCCAUGAGUGUGCAUUUCAUUUCUUCAGUUAAAGCCUUCAGAGACACACAAUAAAUUUGGACCAGGGGAUUUUUUAGUUAUUAAUGCUCUCUGAAGAAAGGCAACAUCUUUUUGAGAGCAGCAUUGGACCACACCCCACAAUCUCAAAUGAUUGAAAUUCAUGAACAUCUAGGAUCCCGUGAAGGUCACUGGACCCUGUUUUUUCUACUUCAAAUCCUGUAGUAGCCUACUGAAUGAGAAAACAUAUUCUGACCCAUUGGGAUCAAAUCAAAGGCACAGUGAACUCCUCAUAGCAUCUUCUUUGGAAUUACUCAGGAACCAGAACUUUUUACACAAAUCAUUUUGUGACCGACUUAUUCUUAGAUCAUUGGUUUUCCAAAGGCUUUGUGGCCAUGAAGCCCUUUGAGUGAAAACUGUGCAGAAGCCCAGAGUAAAAGUGAAGCUGCUCUGGAUGAAGUAGUGAAGCAAGAGUAGGGGCCUGAAUCCUGCUACAACUAUCUUCCUUUACCACCGUGGUGACACCUAAGGGGACUUCCUUACAACACCUUGAACUCUUCCGAACACAGUUUGAAAACCACUGCCCCAGACAGCAAUAUGUUUGACCUGAAUGGCAUUCCAAUCUUUUCUGUACCUCCACUCAGCACAGUUCAUGUUCAGUAGAUGCUGAACAUUCUUAGAAAUACUGUGUGUGAACUUAGAAAAGUGCAAGAAGACAGGCAUGUCUUUGACCCCAGGAAUGAUCAUUUGCUGAAGAUGGUGUCAAGUGAACCUAGAUUAACAGCCCUCCACUCCAGAUGGAUAUCCAGUGAUUCCUAGAAUGGGAUAUAGCCAGAGAACAAUUCUAUGCACCCUACACUGACAGACUCCCUUAAGCAACACCAGAUGCUCUACUGGUACUUGAAGUACAUGACUUUGAAGUCUUGACCCUCCAUGAAUACCUGAAUUAUCAGCAAGCGGGUUUUGAAGCUGGUGCCUCAUUGAGGCCAUAUUAGAGCAACUUGUACAUUUGACCUCUUGUUAUCAGCCAUGGUACUCUACUUCGUGUGCAAGAGAUAACUAUGAAAGCCAAAUUCAAAUACUGGCAACAUUUCCUAAAGGGGCUCAAUAUCUAUCAUUCGUCUUCUUUUCCAAACUACACAUCACUGUAUGACUCAACCAGUAGCAGUUAUAUUGCCCCUUGGUUUUUAUUCAGUUUAACUACUGUUUCCAAGAUAAAUGAGCUAAUAAGCUUUAAAAAAAAAAAAAAAAAAGGCUGAAUUCUUUUUUCUUCAUCACUGGCAUAUCUGCCUAUUCUCCAGAAUUAUUAUGACUAUUCAGCUCACUUUAACAGUUGAACUUCAAGCGACAAUCUUUGAACACCCCUUCUCAUGUGAUUUAAAAUGAAACCAUUUGGAAAAGUUUCUUCUAGCCAGUAAUAGAUUUUUUUUUUAAUUGCUCUGCCUUGUGCCGAGAGAUGUUCUUUUAAGAUGAAUCUUUUGAUGUCUGAUACCACCAAAUAUAGGUGGUAGGGAGAGUUGGAGGCUGGCCCUUUGAGCAGGCCAUUAGCUUACUUGCUGGGCAUUUCCGAUAGCUUAUUGCCUACCUUUUUGCUGGAAACAAACUGAUUUGAAAAACAAAAUCUAUGAAGACUGCAGCUAAGGAUUUUAUCGGUAGACUUAAGAGCUUUUGUCCUUGUGGAUAUUUUAGUGGAACCACAUCAGUCUCAAUACUGUCAUUUUACACUGACUCAGAGCAGCUGACUUCAUUCCUUGCCAUGAUAUAUAUUUAAGGCAGGCAUUGUAACAGACAUAAAGACAACUUAUCUGUUUCAGCAGGAAGGAUUCAGUUUAUGAACUCUCAGACCAGAUCAUGUUGAACAAGGAGACUUUGAUGUGUGUCAUGAGAAAACUCAUUCUUUACUUCCCAGUCAAUUUAAAGGCCAGCUAUCCUGAGCUACUCGAAUGAAUGCACUGGUUAAACAUUGGAAAUAGUUUGUUUAUAUCCUUGUCUCUCUCUAGGCCAAUUGUGAUUACAUGACUCGACUCUACAUCUCGUCAAACAAGGCCUAGGUCUGGUUGCUGUAGACUGCUCGCCCUCAACAAAUAAAAUCUGGUUGACUAGCCUCCUUGUAUAUACAACUAUUAUUUGUUAAGAAGAAAUUAUCGUCAAUUUUCUACUACCUUCCAAUUGUCAGCUCUUUUUUUCCUCUCUGGUUUUUCCUAUACUUUACAGAAAAAGACAUUGAUCUAUACUGCCAUUCCCUCUAAUCCUGCCAUACUCAGUCAAAAGGAAUGACUUAAGAUGAAGAUGAUCAUCUGCUCGAGUCUAAAAUAUACAUUGUAUAUAAGAAUUGGUGAUUAGAAAAGCAAAAAACCUAAAACUUAAAUCUAGGAGUCUGUAUACUGUCUCCAUGUCUCCAUGCCUCAGAUCUCAUCUAAAUCUUUGAACAGCACCAUUCAACCAAUCUGAGGCCUUGACUUGCUUGUAAGAUGAUUCUCAGAGAUCGGCUGAGUUAAAAAAGAUGACGACUUGAUUACCAAAGAAAGUAGGGCCAACUUUGACAAAUCUGGCUCUGCUGACCCUGUCACUCCCAGAUGUAGCAUAGACUCCUAAACAGAACCUCAAGUCUGAUUGAGGAUAAGGCCUUCUCCUGAGCUGAAAGUUCUUUGGCAGAUGAGCAAGAAACUGAAAGCUGAUGUACCUGACUGGCUCUGUAAGAUCAGAAAACUGUAUCCAGAAUAAGCCCUAUGGAUUAACCCCUGAGUACCCAGAGUAAAAACUAAUUUACAGAACUUCCUUAUUGAUCUGCUGGUUCUUCCAGAUCAUAUUCUGGCUAUUGGUAUGGCUGGCCUUUCUGAAGGUACCCUGCUUGUCUAUUUUCCUGACUCAGCUCUUGCCUGCCUUUUUCACAUGUUGCUGCAAUUAGACUCACCGUGAGGACUACAGUCAAUUUCAGUCUAUCUUGUGCCCAAUACAACAAGGAUUUUUAAUAGUAACAACCCACACCUCACCCACUAGGACUCAAUGUUCACAACAGGAAGGACCAUUGCUGCAUACUCCUUGACCAGCAACUUUUUUGAAGAUAUUUUUAAGUGCAGAGUAGGCCUCUAUUCCUGUAUGUAAUUGUUCAUUUUCAGCACCUGGAACCUCAUCUAUCGGGUCUGGAAGGAAUACAGCAGUUCGAAAGCCGCGUCCAUUUCUCUCCUUCAGUAGUGCAGAAAUGAGUCCGAUUCACCAGUACACACAGAACUGUACCAGUUCAACCUAGCAAAAGAAGAAAAGUUUCCACUGUACUUAAAAUUUACAGCUGACUCAAAUUGCCUCACAGAAUUAUUUGAUGUAGAAGGCUAGUUGUCUUACUUCAGAUCAGCAGGACAGUUGGGCUCUCAGACUCAUGACCACUGAGUUUGCUUGUGUUGAAACUGUGGUUUCAUCCAACAUAUGCUAUUGGACAUGAUUAUUAUUCCAUUCAAAUGGAUUACAGACUUCUUGAGGACAGGACAAACUUAUCUCUCAUGGUGUUUUUUUAGAAUACUUUUAUAACCAAGGAAGAAACCAUGCCAGCUGUUACCAUUCAACUUCUUAAGCAGAGAUUAAGCUUUUUCAUAUCUGUUCUUAUCCUGGACAUCAGUAGUUUUUAAUUGCCCAGCAUCCGUUCCAUCUUGUAACAACUCCCUGAUGUUUCUUAAAACCACCUCUUCCUAUUUUCAGUCUGUGGUUUGGACAGUCUGACCCAACCUUGAGCUUUGUGGGUGAACAUGUAAUUCAGACCUCAUCAAUCAGCAAAUCCAUCUGAACUGUGGAGGAGAAGCUCUCUUUACUGAGGGUGCUUUAGCUUUGUAGGAUGAAAACCUCAAACUAACAGGGCCUACCAUGUAGAGAAUGAAGCCAGUGCAGGGGAAAGCAGAGCCAAAAUAUGGAGAGACUUGAAUCCUGAUGACAGCGUUUGUGCCCCUGGAUCCAACCGUGCCUGAAGCUAGAAUAUCCCCUGGACUUUUCAGUUAUGUGAACCAAUAAAUACCCUUUUUUGCUUAAGUUACUUUGAGUUGGGUUUCUGUUACUUGAAAUUGAAUCCACACUAAUAUAUCUACCAACAUUGAGACUUGACAGAUCCAAGUAUUUAUUAAGCUAGAGGUCAUGGUCACUGAAAUUACUUUCCAAAGUGGAAGACAAAAUGAAACAGGAACUGAGGGAAUAUUUAAGAUCCCACAGAAGCGUAAAAAUGACAUGGUAGAAAGUAAUAGAAAACCUAAAUGUCUGUCAUUAAAGGAUAGGUUAAGGUGUGGUUCAGCCAUAUAGGAAUAUCUCGUAUCUGUUAAAAUGAAUAAAGUACAUUCAUUGUGUAUGGAAAAAUGGCCAUGAUACAUUAGGUGAAACAAGUUAUUAAUAGAAAAGUGUACAGUGUGAACUCAUUUUAAAAUGUGUGUGCUUAUGUUUAUAAAUGCAUAGAAAGGUCUAUUCACAGCUUUCUUUGAACAGUGUAGAUCACAUGAAACUUUCAACUUUAUACAUUUCUGUAUUAAUAUUUUACACUACCCACAUUAUUUUUAAACUUUAUUUUAAAUAAAGAAUUUUUAAAAUUAAAUUUAGUGCUUACUGUUUGACCUUGGCAAGUUAUUCAACACUGAGCCUGUUUUAUC